UUAAGUUCAGCGGGUAUCCCUACCUGAUCCGAGGUCAAACCUUUGUUUUUUAGUGAGUGUCUGGCAGGCUACCGCCGGGGUCUCCAGAGCGAGAGAUGCUACUACGCUUGGAGCCCACACGGCACCGCCACUGAUUUUAAGGCCCGCCAGCACGCUGGCGCAGCCCAACACCAAGCUGAGCUUGAGGGGUUGAAAUGACG
This 200-nucleotide unclassified non-coding RNA is filed under the name Leotiomycetes sp. RNAcentral describes it as "partial internal transcribed spacer 2". The record is from RNAcentral. Lineage: Eukaryota; Fungi; Ascomycota; Leotiomycetes.